AAAAAUGUAUAUAUAGAUAUAAA
Molecule: small nuclear RNA, 23 nt
Filed under: Arabidopsis thaliana (thale cress)
Lineage: Eukaryota; Viridiplantae; Streptophyta; Magnoliopsida; Brassicales; Brassicaceae
Description: snRNA_04965
Source: RNAcentral